UUACAGAACGCCCGGGCUUCGGCCUGGUUAUUCAUAACCCUUUGUUGUCCGACUCUGUUGCCUCCGGGGCGACCCUGCCUUCGGGCGGGGGCUCCGGGUGGACACUUCAAACUCUUGCGUAACUUUGCAGUCUGAGUAAACUUAAUUAAUAAAUUAAAACUUUUAACAACGGAUCUCUUGGUUCUGGCAUCGAUGAAGAACGCAGCGAAAUGCGAUAAGUAAUGUGAAUUGCAGAAUUCAGUGAAUCAUCGAAUCUUUGAACGCACAUUGCGCCCCCUGGUAUUCCGGGGGGCAUGCCUGUUCGAGCGUCAUUUCACCACUCAAGCCUCGCUUGGUAUUGGGCAACGCGGUCCGCCGCGUGCCUCAAAUCGUCCGGCUGGGUCUUCUGUCCCCUAAGCGUUGUGGAAACUAUUCGCUAAAGGGUGUUCGGGAGGCUACGCCGUAAAACAACCCCAUUUCUAAGGUUGACCUCGGAUCAGGUAGGGAUACCCGCUGAACUUAAGCAUAUCAAUA
Molecule: ribosomal RNA, 513 nt
Filed under: uncultured fungus
Lineage: Eukaryota; Fungi
Description: eukaryotic LSU rRNA
Rfam family: 5.8S ribosomal RNA (bases 158-311)
Source: RNAcentral